GUCGCAAGAUUAAAACUCAAAGGAUAGACGGGGACCCGCACAAGCGGUGGAGCAUGUGGUUUAAUUCGACGAUACGCGAAGAACCUUACCUGGCCUUGACAUAGUUAGAACCUAAUAGAGAUAUAAGGGUGCUAGUUUACUAGAGCUAACAUACAGGUGCUGCACGGCUGUCGUCAGCUCGUGUCGUGAGAUGUUGGGUUAAGUCCCGCAACGAGCGCAACCCUCGUGUUUAGUUGCUAACAGGUUAAGCUGAGGACUCUAGACAGACUGCCUGGGUAACCAGGAGGAAGAUGAGGACGACGUCAAGUCAUCAUGGCCCUUACGGCCAGGGCUACACACGUGCUACAAUGGGAUAUACAAAGAGCAGCGAUACCGCGAGGUGGAGCAAAUCUCAUAAAAUAUCUCCCAGUUCGGAUUACACUCUGCAACUCGAGUGUAUGAAGUUG
This 446-nucleotide ribosomal RNA is filed under the name uncultured Campylobacterota bacterium. RNAcentral describes it as "bacterial SSU rRNA". It matches the Rfam family "Bacterial small subunit ribosomal RNA", at positions 885 to 1328 of the family's 1533-position model. Lineage: Bacteria; Pseudomonadati; Campylobacterota. The record is from RNAcentral.